GGCUGGUCCGAGUACAGUGGUGUUGACGAUUAAUUGAUCGUAACCAGUUACAGAUUUCUUUGUUCCUUCUCCAUUCCCGCUAACCUUAAAAAACAAAACAGCCUGGU
Molecule: unclassified non-coding RNA, 107 nt
Organism: Colobus angolensis palliatus
Lineage: Eukaryota; Metazoa; Chordata; Mammalia; Primates; Cercopithecidae
Rfam family: Y RNA
About the family: Y RNAs are components of the Ro ribonucleoprotein particle (Ro RNP), in association with Ro60 and La proteins.
Source: Ensembl